RNAcentral lists this ribosomal RNA (799 nucleotides) under uncultured bacterium. Its description in RNAcentral is "bacterial SSU rRNA". It matches the Rfam family "Bacterial small subunit ribosomal RNA", at positions 61 to 827 of the family's 1533-position model. The record is from RNAcentral.
GUCGAACGAAACUUCUUUAUCACCGAGUGCUUGCACUCACCGAUAAAGAGUUGAGUGGCGAACGGGUGAGUAACACGUGGGCAACCUGCCCAAAAGAGGGGGAUAACACUUGGAAACAGGUGCUAAUACCGCAUAACCAUAGUUACCGCAUGGUAACUAUGUAAAAGGUGGCUAUACUACCGCUUUUGGAUGGGCCCGCGGCGCAUUAGCUAGUUGGUAGGGUAAAGGCUUACCAAGGCAAUGAUGCGUAGCCGAAUUGAGAGGUUGAUCGGCCACAUUGGGACUGAGACACGGCCCAAACUCCUACGGGAGGCAGCAGUAGGGAAUCUUCCACAAUGGGCGAAAGCCUGAUGGAGCAACGCCGCGUGGGUGAAGAAGGUCUUCGGAUCGUAAAACCCUGUUGUUAGAGAAGAAAGUGCGUGAGAGUAACUGUUCACGUUUCGACGGUAUCUAACCAGAAAGCCACGGCUAACUACGUGCCAGCAGCCGCGGUAAUACGUAGGUGGCAAGCGUUAUCCGGAUUUAUUGGGCGUAAAGGGAACGCAGGCGGUCUUUUAAGUCUGAUGUGAAAGCCUUCGGCUUAACCGGAGUAGUGCAUUGGAAACUGGGAGACUUGAGUGCAGAAGAGGAGAGUGGAACUCCAUGUGUAGCGGUGAAAUGCGUAGAUAUAUGGAAGAACACCAGUGGCGAAAGCGGCUCUCUGGUCUGUAACUGACGCUGAGGUUCGAAAGCGUGGGUAGCAAACAGGAUUAGAUACCCUGGUAGUCCACGCCGUAAACGAUGAAUGCUAAGUGUUGGA